RNAcentral lists this small nuclear RNA (95 nucleotides) under Castor canadensis (American beaver). Lineage: Eukaryota; Metazoa; Chordata; Mammalia; Rodentia; Castoridae. The record is from RNAcentral.
UUACUUCAGCAGCACAUAUACUAACAUUGGAAUGAUACAGAGAUUAGUAUGGCUCCUGCAUAAGGGUAUUUUUUAAAGAAAAACAAAAAACCUAU